GUUUUAUAUCCCAGAAAGGAGAUUUAAUAACUACCAAAUGUUCUUGGAAAAAAGCUCCGAAGAGCUGAAAAAGAUCUAGCUUUAUAUCCCAGAAAGGAGAUUUAAUAACUACCAAAUGUUCUUGGAAAAAAGCUCGGAAGAGCUGAAAAAGACCUAGCCUUAUAUCCCAGAAAGGAGAUAUAAUAACUACCAAAUGUUCUUGGAAAAAGCUCCAAAGAGAUGAAAAUGUCCAAACAAAAAUUAAAUAAAUUUAGCACGAAAAAUCGCUGCAAAAUACGCUAUAAAAUACAAAUUCUUAAUGGAAGUUCGAUAUAGGCUUUUAAUUUUUAAUGUAGCCUCAUUUUUCUAGAAAGAAUGAUCGUCAAUAUGGAGGCCAUA
Cimex lectularius (bed bug) is the source of this 378-nucleotide long non-coding RNA. RefSeq lists it as uncharacterized. Lineage: Eukaryota; Metazoa; Arthropoda; Insecta; Hemiptera; Cimicidae. The record is from RefSeq and is a predicted model, not a curated record. The transcript has 3 exons.